Molecule: microRNA, 20 nt
Filed under: Drosophila ananassae
Lineage: Eukaryota; Metazoa; Arthropoda; Insecta; Diptera; Drosophilidae
Also listed under: 7 other names
Description: miR-276a-RB
Source: RNAcentral
GGAACUUCAUACCGUGCUCU